RNAcentral lists this transfer RNA (74 nucleotides) under Candidatus Poribacteria bacterium. RNAcentral's name for it is "tRNA-Val". It matches the Rfam family "tRNA". From Rfam's summary of the family: Transfer RNA (tRNA) molecules are approximately 80 nucleotides in length. Their secondary structure includes four short double-helical elements and three loops (D, anti-codon, and T loops). The record is from RNAcentral. Lineage: Bacteria; Candidatus Poribacteria.
GGGUGGUUAGCUCAGUUGGUUAGAGUACUUGCUUGACAUGCAAGAGGUCAUAGGUUCAAAUCCCAUACCACCCA